CGGGGUGCACCAGGCGCGAAAACUUUACAAUGCGGGAAACCGUGAUAAGGGGACACCGAGUGCCAGCAUCAUAUGCUGGCUGUCCGGGUGUGUAAAAUACACCCGUUAGCAAGGGCCGGGCAAGACCGGUGCCAGCCGCCGCGGUAACACCGGCGGCCCGAGUGGUGAUCGUGAUUAUUGGGUCUAAAGGGUCCGUAGCCGGUUUGGUCAGUCCUCCGGGAAAUCUGACGGCUCAACCGUUAGGCUUUCGGGGGAUACUGCCAGGCUUGGAACCGGGAGAGGUAAGAGGUACUACAGGGGUAGGAGUGAAAUCUUGUAAUCCCUGUGAGACCACCUGUGGCGAAGGCGUCUUACCAGAACGGGUUCGACGGUGAGGGACGAAAGCUGGGGGCACGAACCGGAUUAGAUACCCGGGUAGUCCCAGCCGUAAACGAUGCUCGCUAGGUGUCAGGCAUGGCGCGACCGUGUCUGGUGCCGCAGGGAAGCCGUGAAGCGAGCCACCUGGGAAGUACGGCCGCAAGGCUGAAACUUAAAGGAAUUGGCGGGGGAGCACAAGGGCGAUUCGCG
Molecule: ribosomal RNA, 567 nt
Filed under: uncultured archaeon
Lineage: Archaea
Description: bacterial SSU rRNA
Rfam family: Archaeal small subunit ribosomal RNA
Source: RNAcentral